Molecule: ribosomal RNA, 607 nt
Filed under: uncultured Desulfuromonadales bacterium
Lineage: Bacteria; Pseudomonadati; Thermodesulfobacteriota; Desulfuromonadia; Desulfuromonadales
Description: bacterial SSU rRNA
Rfam family: Bacterial small subunit ribosomal RNA
Source: RNAcentral
CGCGAAAGUCGCCUUCGGGUGGCGAGUAGAGUGGCGCACGGGUGAGUAACACGUGGAUAAUCUGCCCGAUGAUCUGGGAUAACAUCUCGAAAGGGGUGCUAAUACCGGGUAAGCCCACGGGGACUUCGGUCCUUGUGGGAAAAGAUGGCCUCUUCUUGAAAGCUAUUGUCAUCGGAUGAGUCCGCGUCCCAUUAGCUAGUUGGUAGGGUAAUGGCCUACCAAGGCGACGAUGGGUAGCUGGUCUGAGAGGAUGAUCAGUCACACUGGAACUGAGACACGGUCCAGACUACUACGGGAGGCAGCAGUGGGGAAUUUUGCGCAAUGGGCGAAAGCCUGACGCAGCAACGCCGCGUGAGGGAUGAAGGCCUUCGGGUCGUAAACCUCUGUCAGAGGGGAAGAAACCCCUGUCGGUUAAUACCCGGCAGGACUGACGGUACCCUCAAAGGAAGCACCGGCUAACUCCGUGCCAGCAGCCGCGGUAAUACGGAGGGUGCGAGCGUUGUUCGGAAUUAUUGGGCGUAAAGCGCGCGUAGGCGGCCAUUUAAGUCUGAUGUGAAAGCCCGGGGCUCAACUCCGGAAGUGCAUUGGAAACUGGGUGCUUGAGUAC